Molecule: small nuclear RNA, 191 nt
Organism: Pygocentrus nattereri (red-bellied piranha)
Lineage: Eukaryota; Metazoa; Chordata; Actinopteri; Characiformes; Serrasalmidae
Gene: U2
Rfam family: U2 spliceosomal RNA
About the family: U2 is a small nuclear RNA (snRNA) component of the spliceosome (involved in pre-mRNA splicing).
Source: Ensembl
AUCGCUUCUCGGCCUUUUGGCUAAGAUCAAGUGUAGUAUCUGUUCUUAUCAGUUUAAUAUCUGAUAUGUCCUCUAUAUGAGGACUACAUAUUAAACUGAUUUUUAGAACAGGGAGACGAAAGAGGGGCUUGCUCCGUCCACUCCACGCAUCGACCUGGUAUUUCAGUACCUCCGGGAACGGUGCAUCUACU